This 831-nucleotide long non-coding RNA is filed under the name Ursus maritimus (polar bear). RNAcentral describes it as "lncRNA (ENSUMAG00000016227.1)". The record is from RNAcentral. Lineage: Eukaryota; Metazoa; Chordata; Mammalia; Carnivora; Ursidae.
CUCCUUUUCACUGUAGCCUGCCUAGGCUGCUCUGAGCUUUCUCCAAGCACAGGUCUCACCAAGCAUGUUUUGUCUCAGGAACUUAUCAGCUUCAUUUGAGUAAAGGGCCGCUGACCUGAGCUGAGCUUUUGUAUUCACAGGCCCAGGAGCAGUGACCUCUGAUGCCAAGGGAAGGAAGAGGCAACUUCAGCCAAGGGAGUGGGCAAAAAGAGCAUGCUCAGCUACGUCCUUGGGCGUGCAAGAGCCCAGAAGACGCGGUCAGGAGCAGCCGAAUCGGAUUUUUUGGGAGUGCGAGAGCCCAGAGGACGCAGUCAAGAACAGCCGAAUCAGAUUUAGUCGAGGAUGAGACAGCUUCUGCCAGAGCUGAGGCCUGGGGACUGAUUUCCAGGGAGUGGGUGAUCCAGGAGCAGGGCGGGAUGUCCCUCUUCUGGGACCAUGAUGAUGGACUCUGAAGCAGAGGGUGUCAGAGUGUGAGACCCUUAUCCGAGCUCCUCUUAGAAUGAAGCUCUUUCCUGCUUCUAUUUUUUAAGUGAUAAAAAUGAAUAUACAUACAGAAAAGUGCAUCGGACCUUUUAUAUAAUAACAACUAUAAAGCUAUCACCCAUGUACUCAUCACUCCCAACAAAAGUGCAACAUCGGGGCACCUGGGUGGCUCAGUCGGUUAGGCAUCUACCUUCAGCUCAGGUCAUGAUACCAGGGUCCUGGGACUGAGCCCCAUGUUGGGCUCCCUGCUCUCAGGGAAUCUGCUUCUCCCUCUUCUCCCUGCUCGUGCUCUCGCUCACUACUGCUCUCUCAAAUAAAUAAAUAAAAUCUUUUUUUUUUAAGUUUAAC